UUCCAAGAUGGCGGGGCCCCCGAAAACUUGCUUCUCCAGUAAAACAUCGCCGAAAGGGAAGUUUAGAGAUUAAUAGACGACGCAAACUAAUGUUUUAAGGAGCGAAGUGGAUCCGGUCACAAGACUUUGCUUGACCCAAUUGCCAUGCAAUCGGAAUGGAGCAAUGCGAGCAAAACAAGUACAAGAAAAUACUAAAAGGAUCCUAAUGGCUUUCGUGUUGAUCUGACACGUCUUCAUUCACUCCACAGAGCAGCAAAAGGAAAGCACGGUAAAUGCCUCA
This is a long non-coding RNA of Syngnathus acus (greater pipefish), 280 nucleotides long. RefSeq lists it as uncharacterized. Lineage: Eukaryota; Metazoa; Chordata; Actinopteri; Syngnathiformes; Syngnathidae. The transcript has 3 exons. The record is from RefSeq and is a predicted model, not a curated record.